CUGCAGCUACAUAUGAGGGUCAUCCUGAAUUUAUCCAGCUUUUUGUCAAGGCUCUGGGCGGUAAAAUAACUGGAGCAAAUAAAAGUAUCUUGUUUCUUUGUGGGGUAAGCAAUCUUACUAUUCUGCUGAAUAAAAGGAUUUUGUUUCUUUGUUCAGGUUUUGUUGGUUAAUGAACUACACACUCGGGUCUCUUCAACAUCACAGUUUUGGUUAUUUUUACUUUUGCAGGAUUAUAUGGAAGACUAUGAAGUCAAAGUCCCUUUCCAGUCCCUUCAAGCUUUGGGAUGUCAAGUUGAUGCGGUUUGUCCAGAGAAGAAGGCUGGUGAUCGCUGCCCAACUGCAAUCCAUGACUUUGAGGGUGACCAAACUUACAGUGAGAAACCAGGCCACACUUUUGCUUUAACUACUAACUUUGAUGGCCUAGUUUCCUCGAGUUAUGAUGCUCUGGUCGUUCCUGGAGGCAGAGCACCAGAAUAUCUGGCCUUGAACGAACAUGUCCUUAACAUAGUUAAAGAGUUCAUGAAUUCUGAGAAACCAGUUGCGUCUAUUUGCCACGGACAACAGAUCUUAGCUGCUGCUGGUGUCCUCAAGGUCAGUAUUGUUCCUUCGUAGCCCCAAUGUAUUUAUCUGUGUCCUCCUUUUUCUUGCCACUACAAGUAGUUUGAGGAAUUUACUCUAUGUGACCUGAUCACUGGCUGGUGCAGGGAAGGAAAUGCACUGCUUAUCCAGCCGUGAAACUGAACGUGGUACUGGGAGGAGGAACUUGGUUAGAACCAGAUCCAAUCCACCGAUGCUUCACUGACGGAAAUCUGGUAACUGGCGCAGCAUGGCCUGGACACCCAGAGUUUGUGUCACAGCUAAUGGCUUUGUUGGGAAUUCAGGUCUCAUUCUAAGUUCCAUGUUAUGAAAAGAAUCCGUCAAACACACUUGUCUACUAUGUAAUGUGUGUAAUGGUGUAUGGUAAAUGUUACUGUGAAAAAAUCACUUGAGUUUCAUGAAGAACCCCACUGUUGAUGCUUUUAUUAUGGUGAGAAUGAUUUCUAUAAGACUUGUGCUAGUUCUCAAGGUCCUCCCAUAAUUCUCUUCAACAAUGGCAAAUUUCGGCAACAAUGCCUUGUUCUCAGGUUAAAUGAAAUGGAUAUUUCAAGUUCUGCUUCCCAUACAUAAAUAUCAAAAAAGGAAUAUUGUUUUGCAGAAAAGUAAAACAAAUUAUGUCUCAUCUACAGAAAUAGCAUAUGAUUGAACCGAAAUUACCCGGUGACCCAACAGUAAAACCGAAACAAAUCGGAUCAGGGCCCAUGAGUAAAGACGGAUAAAAGAGCAUAAUAAAAUAUAUUAAAAUCUGGCUAUAGUUUAUUAAAGACCUUGAGGUUUUUUUUCUUAUCCCUUGCUGAAUAAGUCAGAGACGAAAAGGAGCAAACCCUAAUUUCCGAUGAUGCCGCCGAAUAUGAGAUCAGUCAUGUCGCUGGUAAAUCGAAAAAUAAUAAUGAAUAUGCGUGGAGGGAGAUCGAUGGGGGCUCGCCGUAAUUUCUGUUCAACACCUGAAAGCAGCAAUGGUAAGGUUUCCGCUAUCUAAUUGGCGAGCGUGGGGCUUCGAUGUAUUUGUAUUCGGAGGGGAAACAAAAAAUCUUUGAUAUGUUUUUGUAUGUAAUUGUAGAUUCCCUUCCAAGAGAAAUUGUAGAUUCCCUUCCAAGAGAAAUGGCUAUAUGGUUGGUAAGUCGAGGUGUAGGAGUGGCUGUGGGAUAUGGCUUAGGUAUGGAGAGAUUUUAUCCUCUUAAAUUUGUCAUCGACCGAUUCUCGAAUUAAUUAUCCUCUUAAAUUUGUCAUCGACCGAUUCUCGAAUUAAAUUUGUCAUCGACCGACCGAUACUUGAGAAGAAGAUGGAACGGGUAAAAACAUAAUCAAGAAGCACUUGGAAUGACAUUGUGACCAGUCCUAUUAUUUCAUCAUUUUUAUCUUUUGUUUUCAGAAAUCGAGGAGGAAGAAGCAGCAAUAAAUCCUAAUUAUGAUGAAGCUUUUAAUAAAUCCUAAUCUGCUUCUAAUAAAUCCUAAUUAUGAUGAAGCUUUUGUAUCCGUAAAUCAAGCCUUUUGCUAAAGAGGAUAUAUGUUUAAUAAAAGGAAGAAAAUUCAAGUAUUAUGGUUAUGGACAUGAUCAGUGGAUUUGGUAGGCUUGACUAUAAUGAUUUGGGCAUUUCAGUUUACUUUGUAUCAUCGAACAUUCAAGUAUCAUGUCAAGUAUCAUCGAACACCUUAAAAUUUAGAAUUUUACCUUUUUGGUUUUACACAUAGAUUCUCGAUGACACCAGGGCCCAGAGAAAUGAAACAUGGGCCCAACAGUAUAGGCUGAGAAACGAUAACGCAACGUAGGCCCGUUUUUAUGUUAUACUAUAACUUUGUGAAAAAAGCAGAGGCGAAAAAGAGCCAACCUAUCUAAUUUUCGAUCAUGCAAAGUCUGUAUACGUGUUUAGUUUUUGUUUGGUUCUGUCAUGGAUCCUGUGGACUAAAUUAAUCUAUGGGUUGCAUUUUAUAGUGGUAGCUUUUUUCCUUGUUACGUACACAGAUUUAAAGGUAUAAGCUACAAACACGGUGCAUCUUUUUUUUUUUACUUCCAUCAGCAAAUAAAAGGAUCUUGUUUCUUUGUGGAGUAAGCAAUCUUACCAUUCUGUGGAGUAAAUCUUUUAUUGAUGGCCAUGUCUUUUCAUUAGUUCUGCUUACGAUAUUGAUUUAGAUUGUACUUCAUAUAUCAGAG
Molecule: long non-coding RNA, 2749 nt
Filed under: Arabidopsis lyrata
Lineage: Eukaryota; Viridiplantae; Streptophyta; Magnoliopsida; Brassicales; Brassicaceae
Description: long non-coding RNA (ALYR_LNC002218)
Source: RNAcentral